Pan troglodytes (chimpanzee) is the source of this 7779-nucleotide long non-coding RNA. RefSeq lists it as uncharacterized. Lineage: Eukaryota; Metazoa; Chordata; Mammalia; Primates; Hominidae. The transcript is spliced from 5 exons. The record is from RefSeq and is a predicted model, not a curated record.
UGAGACACAGCGCGGGACGGGUUACUCUCGCGUGAGACGCAGCGCGGGACGGGUUACUCUCGCGUGAGACGCAGCGCGGGACGGGUUACUCUCGCGUGAGACGCAGCGCGGGACGGGUUACUCUCGCGUGAGACGCAGCGCGGGACGGGUUACUCUCGCGUGAGACGCAGCGCCGGACGGGUUACUCUCGCGUGAGACGCAGCGCGGGACGGGUUACUCUCGCGCGAGACGCAGCGCGGGACGGGUUAAUCUCAGGUGAGACGCAGCGCGGGACGGGUUACUCUCGCGUGAGACGCAGUGCGGGACGGGUUAAUCUCGCGCGACACGCAGUGCGGGACGGGUUAAUCUCAGAUGGGGACACUGAGCCUCAGAGAGAAGAACGAUGUGGCCAGGGUCCCGCAGCGAGGAUGCAGCAGAAUCAGGAUUGGAACCCAGACCUGUCUGACUCCAGAGCUUUCGGGGACUAGGAUUCUUUCUGCAUGUCUUUCUCUCUCGCCAAGAGAUAGGGUCUUGCUCUGUGGCCCAGGCUGGAGUCCAGUGGUGCAAUCACAGCUUGCUAGAGCCUUGACCUCCUGGGCUCAAGUGAUCCUCCUGCUUCAGCCUCUGGAGUAGCUGAGAUUACAGAUGGAAUCUCUAGCCGGACUUCUAACAGUGCCAGUUUUUGAAUUUCCCCUGAAGGACUCAAGGAGUGCAAGUUCUUUCACGUCCAGCUUCUUUUGCUCACACUAUAUCCACAAGAUUCAUCCACAUAGCUGUAAAGACUCCAAAGCUCAGAAGAGUAAGUUGACUUGCUCAGAAACACAGAGCCAGUGGUUGUGUGGUGCAGACAAGAAGCCAGGAGCCUGUGAUUCAAGGCCAGGAAUACCACCAUGUCUUGCUGUAUAUCUUUCAGGGCUCUGUGACUCAGUUUUUCUGCAGGUUACUGUAUGAUUCUCUGGAGCAGGGUACAAGGUAUGUUUCCACUGUGUGCCUCCCCUGUCCCUCACCCACAAGCCACCUUCUUCUCUUGGGGCAGCUGACACAUCUCACAGGCCCUUGGAACAAGGUGGGGGACAGCCAGGAGGGUGUGUGUGUGUGUGUGUGUGUGUGUGUGUGUAUGUAGGGGGGCGGCUAGUUUUGUGCCAGCAGCAGGUGCUGCUGUGCAAAAAGCUCCAGCCCUGCUGGAUGGGGCCUGGAUGUUGGCUUCUCUGAGUAGUAAGCAAUCAAUCGAUGAAGUGUGGUUGAGUGCAUUCAAAACGCUUGGGGAAAGUGGGGCUGGGAAGAGUCUCUAUAGCAUGAUAGUAUUUGAAGAAGCCAAAAAGAAGAGUAGGAACUUCCAUGAGUAACAGGUUGGGAAAUUUCCAAGGGAAGCUAUAAUGGGCAUUUGUCUUUUCCCCGCUCCUGUCUGACUAAUUUGUUGCUUUGGGAUGCAUCACCCCUCUCUUAUUCUUAGCCCUGGGGUUGGGGUUAGAGUGAGAGUGGAACUCACUCUCCACUGCAGGGAGUGCCCUGAUUGGCUUAUACCAGUCAUCAUUUUCUACUGUCAAGUCGUAGUGAUUGGUUCAAGGCUAGACCAUGAGAGCCCAUCACAAGCCAAGGAGAUGCAAGAAGGCAUCUGCUGGGAUUUCUAGAAAAGAGAUACUUCCUCUUUCUUCUACUUAAGAGUGAGAAGUAAAGAUAUAAUCUCUGUGAUAGAUACGGUCAAAUUGUUACCAGGUCAAGAGACUCUGGAGCCUCUGGGUUCCUUAUAGGAGACACCUUGAAGCUUGCUGGAUGCCUCAGAGGGAAGUGAGAGAGAAACAAGCACCAGAGAAGGCAGAGUGAGGAAACAGAGAAAUUGGGACUUUGGAGACAUUGUUUGAGCUGCUGGAUCAAGCCUUGCCUGAAAGCAGCAUAUCUGGACUUCAACAUGUAGUUAAUAUAUUUCUCUUUUUUAUUGGAUGAGGGUUAGGUUUAUUGAGGUAUAAUCUACUCAUGGUAAAAUCCACAUUCUUCAGUGUAUAGUUUUAUGUAUUUUGACAAACACAUAUAGUCAUAUAACCACUACCACAAAUUGGAAUAUCAGACAGUUCCAUUAACCACUCCCACCCCAUCAAAUGUUCUUAUAGCCCCUCCCUGUCCUAUUAUUUUAAAAAAGAUUUUGGCUUAGGCCAGUUCAAAUUGGGUUUUCUGUAAUGUGCAUACCAAGUGUCUGACUAAUAAAAGUCCCCAAGAUCACCCCCUCCCUCCUUUCCUUCCUAGCCCCUUUUGGAAAAGAUUAGUUAAAUGUUUACCAUGCCCCAGACACUGUGCUAGCCCCAGCCCUCAGUCCCACUCCUCUCUCCAGCAAUCAGUUUGGGUAUCCCCAUUUAGGUUUGGAGGAGAUGAUUGCCAAGAGAAUAACCUGGUUUGCUGGAGUGGGGCUGCUGGCCAAAAUGCUGUUUGUCCCUUUCAGCCCCACUCUGAGGAGCUUCUGGGAGAGUUGGCUAGGUCUUUCCUAAGCCUGGGAAGCAGAAGCCGGGGCGGAUUAACAAUGCCAAUUACUAAGAUCCUGCAGUCGAUGAAAGGCUGGUGUUUUGCAGCCACUUCCUUAGCUGGACAAUGAGGGAGCUGACCUUUCUGUGCUCAAUAAACCAAUUGCCACUAGAGAGUAGGUUCCCUGGUGACCAGGAACCAAAAGCCAAGUUGCAGAUAUCAUUUCUGGGGGGUGGUGGCAGGGGGAAGGAGAAAGGAGAUAGGUGCUGGGGGUUCGGAAGCCUGGGUUUCGAUCCUGCACCACUAUGUGGCUUGGGGCAGUCACUCCCUGAGCACUUCUGCACUUAGUAGGCACCUGCUGUGUGCCUGGACCCUGUAGACCAAUGUCAUUUGUGGUCAUCUUACAAAAGGACUCAGGGAUGCAGAGGAGGAGACUGCAGGAUCACUUUGUCCAAUCCUCUGGUUGUACAAGUGGGGAAAGCAAAUCCCAGAGAAAGACUUAGCCCCUGAAGGCUGCCCAUGGGACGGUCCUUCCACAGUAACCUGUGCAUCACACUUGGUGGUUUACAGAGCCCUCUCUGACCCACUCUGACCACAGUCUCCCCACCGUCCCCGAGGAGACUAGAUCUGGAAGAGGAUAUUUCUUGGAUCUGGUCACCUGGCAGAGAUGAAACUCUGAUGAGAGGCUGCCCAUGCUUCACCUGCCUCCCUCCCCCUGAAGCACCUGAUCCAGGGUUGGCCUGCACCAGGAGCACUUUCCUUCUCCCAGGAGGAGAUCUGCCCUUCUCUAACUCCAACACUUUGUUAGAACCCUGAAGGUAGAGGAGCCAGACAGACCUGGGUUUGAGUCCUGACUCUGGCACUGAUGGACUGCGGGACUCUGCCCUUUACCUUAAGAUCUCAGGCCAGGUGCGGUGGCUCAUGCCUGUAAUCCCAGCACUUUGGGAGGCCGAGGUGGGCGGAUCACGAGGUCAGGAGAUGGAGACCAGCCUGGCCAACAUGGUGAAUCCCUGUCUCUACUAAAAAUACAAUAAUUAGCCGGGCCUGGUGGCGGGUGCCUGUAAUCCCAGCUACUCAGGAGGCUGAGGCAGGAGAAUUGCUUGAACCCAGGAGGCAGAGGUUGCAGUGAGCCGAGAUCAUGUCACUGCACUCCAGCCUGGGUGAUAGAACAAGAUUCCGUCUCAAAAAAACAAAAAAAACUCAGGAUUCAAAGAGAUGGUGGAUGUGAGGAUGAACCUGCCCAGCCCUGCCUUACCUUAAGCCACGAAUGUGAGGGCUCCAGAUACAUCUGUGGACGUGACUGAGACGCGCCUGGGCUGCCUUCUCAUUUCUGGCCUCUGUGCUUCUGAGAGCCCUCUUCUCUCAAUUGAAGCCCCCUUCCUACCCCUGCCAUUCUUUUGCCCUUCCAAUUCCUGUAUCCCAGGAGUAAGGCUGGAGAAUGAGUGGAAAGAAGACAUCUUUGCUUGGGAAUCUUUCAGAUGCCAGCUGGCAUGGGUUUCUGCCCUGGCUUUGAGCUGAGCCUCAGCAAGGACUGAUCCCCUGCCUGCAGCAGGUAGGUCCUGGUCAUGCCAGGGAGGCCCCUCUGUCUAGAUGGGAGGGAAUGUCCACAUCCCACUGCAGGAAGACCCAGUAAAGGCCCAUCUGUGUCCAGCAUCUUCUGUGCGCUAGGGUUUUCCUCACUCAACCCUGAUCCCAAGUUACAUGGUUAGCACUCUUAACCCCAUUUUACAGAAGAGAAAACAGAGGCUUGGAGAGACUUAACCACCAUCCCAGGAUUGCGCACAGAAACCUAGAGAGUGUUGGUACCUGGGUCCGAUGUCGCAGCUGUUUCUGCUUUCUGGGUCACCUGGGCAAGCCAUGCCCCCUUCUCUGGAGCUUUGGUAACCCAGAAGCACAAAAGGAGGCUGUGAGUGAACUAGUCAGUGGUUCUCAAGCUUGAGUGCACAUCAGAAAGUUCUGGAGGGCUCGUUACAACACAGAUCACCGGGCUCACCCCCAGCAAUGAAUUGCUGAUUCAUUAGGUCAGGGUUGGGGCCCAAGAGUGUGCAUUUCUGACAAGUUCCAGGGAGAUGCUGAUGCUGAUGGUCCAGGGACCACACUUUUGAGAACCACUUGGUUGGAUGAACUCAGAUUCUUUUGAGUAGUGACAUUGAAUGGUUUCUUCCAAGUACUGCUGAGUCCGCUGGUUUCCCUUGUGAUCCGUGACCCACUUCCCCAGUGACUCUGCUCACAUGGGUCCUGACAGAUGAUGUCCUGCGAGUUUUCUGGCAAACCCAGAGGAGAAGUCCAGAGAGUGGAUCCGAGGGCUUUGCAGCAAUGGAGUAGGCUUUCAGCAAACUCAAACAUGGCACAGGUGAGACGAUGGCAUAGAGCUUCGGGAAUCAAUAUUCUCGUGCAGCGUUGGAGAGCAGGGCUAGGGAGUGGCCAGGGGGGUCGAGGUGACAGCUCCUCGGAAGCCCCCACCCCUCCGCCACCCCAUCAGGAUUUGCGCUGCGUCUGCCAGGCUGCUCUGAUAUAUUGGCCCUCUCUUGGGAGCCUCCCAACUUGCCAUUGGUAAACAAAGCCUUUAUUUCCCAGGCCAGUGGGGAAAAAUUUCAGACCUUUAUAAUUAAGUGUCCCGGUGAAGGGCAGCUGCCGAAUUCUGGCGCUGGGUGCCCGUCAGGCUGGUGAUGGAUGGCAACAACACAUCAUCCCAGCGGCAGCCCGGCUGUGAGCUAUGGGGGUCAUAUAUCACAGCAGGCCUGGCUGGUCUUCCCUGUACACCAUGGAGGCCACAGUCGGCAGGCAGCUUGGGCUCUGUCUGGGGUUGGGGGUGAAGAGGGGCAUGGGCUAGCCCGGGAGGCCCUUCCCUAUCUUCUUAUGGUUCAGAUGAGGAAGCUGGGGGCCAGAGUGGGCUGAGGUCAGUCCCACACCUAUUUUCUCCUGCCUCCAAUACCCUCACCAUCCAACCCCUCACUCUGGAAGACAUUGAGAAGCCUAACUUGAGUCUAUCCUUUUCCCCACUUCUUUGGUCCAACCCAUCAUCAACAUUCCUGUUGUUUCUGCCCCCUAAAUGUCUCCAGAAUUAAUCUACUUUUCUACUCAUCAUGAUCACCAUCCUUGUCUAAGCCACCACCUCUCCCUCUCUCUUGCUGUGCUCUCCUACUGUGGUUGGGAUGGAAUUGCCUGCUCCUGAAGGUGGCCAUGUGACUUUGUCACUAGAAUGAAGCAGAAGUAUCAAUGUGUCAGUUCCAGUCAAGACCUCCAGUGGCCUUGUGGCUUCCACUCUCUUGAGAUUCUGCCAUGGCUAUAAGAAGGACAUGCCCAGGCUAGCUUUCAAUCCCAGGAGAGGAUGAGAAAGCUAGGGGCAAAUUUGCUCCAGCUAAAUGCUCCAGCCAAGCCAAACAUAGAGAAGAACACUCCCCAAGCCAACUACUGACCCCUAGAAGUGUGAGCUAUAAUAAUAGAUGAUAGCUGUUACACACCAUCAAGUUUUGGGAUUGUUUCUUAUGCAGCAAAGCUAACUGAUACAUGUUGUCUAUAAGCCCUUGCAUGAUUUGGGCCCUUCUGACCUCUCCAAUCUCAUCUCCUGUCCUUCUCCUCUAUAAUUAUUGCUCUUCCCUCUCUCAGGGCCUUUGCCCAUAUAGUGCUUUCCAUCUGGACAGCUUUUGUCAUGUUUUUCUUCCUGCCCUUUAGGUCUCAGUAUAAAUGCCACCUCCUUAGACCUUCUUGGACCAUCCCAUCAAAAGUUAAGUUUCUCAGUCUAUUACAUUCUCUAUUUCAAUCUCUUGUUUAUGUGCUUCAUAAAAGUUAAAAUAAAAACAAGAACAGGCCGGGUUCAGCGGCUCAUGCCUAUAAUCCCAGCACUUUGGGAGGCUGAGGCGGGCAGAUCACCUGAGGUUAGGAGUUCGAGACCAGCCUGGCCAACAUGGGGAAACCCUGUCUCUACUAAAAAUACAAAAAAAUUAGCUGGGCAUGGUGUAAUCUCAGCUACUCUGGCAGAUAAGGCAGGAAAAUCACUUGAACCUGGGAGGUGGAGGUUACAGUGAGCCGAGAUUGCACCAUUGCACUCCAACCUGGGUAACAAGAGUGAGACUCCGUCUCAAAAAACAAAACAAAACAAAAACCCAAGAACAACUUAAUUAUUUUGUGUUUUCGUCCUUGCUGUUCCUUAUUAUUAUUAUCAUUUUCUGUCUCUCUUUUCUGCUGCGGGUUCCAUGAUGGCCAGAGCCAGCUCUUGGAGUCUCUCCUCUUCUUGCGUUUGUCCCUAGCACUGAGCUCAAUGCCUGGACAUAGUAGCUGCCCAGCAGGUAUAUGAUGGCUAAAUGUAAACUGGAUGUCUCACAGUGUGUUCAGGAUAGAGCCAGGAUAGAACCUGGCUCUUCUGGGAGAGAACACCGGUGCCUGCUUUGGGCUGACAAGGCCUUUAUGUGUGCAUUAAUGCUGUGCGAUUGGAAGGGCUGGAGUUGGAGGUGAGAGUAAACCUACAGAAAGGGGUCAUUAGGUGUGGUCUCUACAAAGCAGGGCAGGGGACAUACACCUGUCAGGUCAUCACUGUGUCCCUGGUGCUCACACCAUGCCUGUCCCAGAAACAGGCUUCAUAACUAUUGUCAGAUUAGCAGAUGAAAGAGGUAGGUUCCUAACUCAGGGCUGAGAUGGGCCUCCGGGGGCCUGUGACCCUUUGAAAUGGUGAGCACACUGAAGAGAUCACAGCUCUAUGAGCGGCUAUGUCACAAGACAGGUCCUAUGGAGCACUAAUGCCCUUCUGGUCUUCACAAAGUUAAUCAGAUCUCUUUCUUACAGACCUUUUCAGAGCCUUUAAUAUGCUAAUAAACUCUGGGAUUCCCAGAGGGGAUUAAGAGUGCUGAGUUGCCCAGUGGUAUUGACCAGGGGAUGCUUUUAUCAGUGACUAUUUUGUGGAAUUCUUGGUCUGCAGGACACACUGACCUGGAAUCAGGUCACAAACUACUGUCUCACAGGUCAAAUCCAGCUUCAGAUAUUUUUCACUAGGCCCUUGUAGGGUUUUAAAAGGCAAUAACUCUUAUUUAAACAUUUUUAUUUUUAUUUUUAAAUUUUUAUUUAUUUAUUUAUUUUUUUGAGACAGAGUCUCGCUCUAUCGCCCAGGCUGGAGUGUAGUGGGGCGAUCUUGGCUCACUGCAACCUCCACCUCCUGGGUUCAAGUGAUUCUCCUGCCUCAGCCUCCCAAGUAGCUGGGACUACAGGCCCACGUCACCAGACCCGGCUGAUUUUUUUUUAUUUUUAGUAGAGACGGGAUUUCAUGUUAGCCAAGAUGGUCUCCAUAUCCUGACCUCGUGAUCCGCCCACUUCGGCCUCCCAAAGUGCUGGGAUUAUAGGCGUGAGCCACCG